This 538-nucleotide ribosomal RNA is filed under the name uncultured bacterium. RNAcentral describes it as "partial 16S ribosomal RNA". It matches the Rfam family "Bacterial small subunit ribosomal RNA", at positions 355 to 883 of the family's 1533-position model. The record is from RNAcentral.
UGGGGAAUAUUGCACAAUGGGCGCAAGCCUGAUGCAGCCAUGCCGCGUGUGUGAAGAAGGCCUUCGGGUUGUAAAGCACUUUCAGCGAGGAGGAAGGUGGUGAACUUAAUACGUUCAUCAAUUGACGUUACUCGCAGAAGAAGCACCGGCUAACUCCGUGCCAGCAGCCGCGGUAAUACGGAGGGUGCAAGCGUUAAUCGGAAUUACUGGGCGUAAAGCGCACGCAGGCGGUUUGUUAAGUCAGAUGUGAAAUCCCCGGGCUCAACCUGGGAACUGCAUUUGAAACUGGCAAGCUAGAGUCUCGUAGAGGGGGGUAGAAUUCCAGGUGUAGCGGUGAAAUGCGUAGAGAUCUGGAGGAAUACCGGUGGCGAAGGCGGCCCCCCUGGACGAAGACUGACGCUCAGGUGCGAAAGCGUGGGGCAGCAAACAGGAUUAGAUACCCUGGUAGUCCACGCUGUAAACGAUGUCGAUUUGGAGGUUGUGCCCUUGAGGCGUGGNUUCCGGAGCUAACGCGUUAAAUCGACCGCCUGGGGAGUAC